This 394-nucleotide long non-coding RNA is filed under the name Homo sapiens (human). RNAcentral's name for it is "HSALNT0156207". Lineage: Eukaryota; Metazoa; Chordata; Mammalia; Primates; Hominidae. The record is from RNAcentral.
CCAAAACACCUCACCCAGUGUUGACCCCAGUGGCUGCUAACCAAGCCAAGCAGGGGUCUCUAAUAAAUUCCCUUAAGCCAUCUGGGCCUACACCAGCAUCCGGUCAGUUAUCAUCUGGUGACAAAGCUUCAGGGACAGCCAAGAUAGAAACAGCUGUGACUUCAACCCCAUCUGCUUCUGGGCAGUUCAGCAAGCCUUUCUCAUUUUCUCCAUCAGGACGACUCAGAGCUGAUGUUUGUGUGGAGAAGCACUCAUUCCACCUCCUUAGAGAAAGCUGCUGGGCAACACCCUCCACUAAAGAGUCAAGCCAGCCGGACGCAUUCUCAUCUGGUGGGGGAAGCAAACCUUCUUAUGAGGCCAUUCCUGAAAGCUCACCUCCCUCAGGAAUCACAUC